GAAGAUUUGAUUAUGGGCUCAGAUUGAACGGCUGGCGGCAGGCCUAACCACAUGCAAGUCGAGGCGGUAACACAGAGGAGCUUGCUCCCUGGGGUGACGAGCGGCGGAACGGGGUGAGUAAUGCCCUGGGGGAUCUGCCCGAUAGAGGGGGGAUAACUACGGGAAACUGUAGCUAAUACCGCAUAAUGUCUACGGACCAAAGUGGGGGCUCUUCGGACCUCAUGCUAUCGGAUGAACCCAGGUGGGAUUAGCUAGUUGGUGAGGUAAUGGCUCACCAAGGCGACGAUCUCUAACUGGUUUGAGAGAAUGACCAGUCACACUGGAACUGAGACACGGUCCAGACUCCUACGGGAGGCAGCAGUGGGGAAUAUUGCACAAUGGGCGCAAGCCUGAUGCAGCCAUGCCGCGUGUGUGAAGAAGGCCUUCGGGUUGUAAAGCACUUUCAGCGGGGAGGAAGGGUCACUAGUUAAUACCUAGUGGCAUUGACGUUACUCGCAGAAGAAGCACCGGCUAACUCCGUGCCAGCAGCCGCGGUAAUACGGAGGGUGCAAGCGUUAAUCGGAAUUACUGGGCGUAAAGCGCACGCAGGCGGUUUGUUAAGUCAGAUGUGAAAUCCCCGAGCUCAACUUGGGAACUGCAUUUGAAACUGGCAAGCUAGAGUCUUGUAGAGGGGGGUAGAAUUCCAGGUGUAGCGGUGAAAUGCGUAGAGAUCUG
RNAcentral lists this ribosomal RNA (714 nucleotides) under Plesiomonas shigelloides. RNAcentral describes it as "bacterial SSU rRNA". It matches the Rfam family "Bacterial small subunit ribosomal RNA", at positions 1 to 700 of the family's 1533-position model. Lineage: Bacteria; Pseudomonadati; Pseudomonadota; Gammaproteobacteria; Enterobacterales; Enterobacteriaceae. The record is from RNAcentral.